Molecule: long non-coding RNA, 2946 nt
Filed under: Triticum aestivum (bread wheat)
Lineage: Eukaryota; Viridiplantae; Streptophyta; Magnoliopsida; Poales; Poaceae
Description: long non-coding RNA (TAES_LNC017746)
Source: RNAcentral
UCGACCGCUAGCGGCAGCGUGCAUAGUGAAACGGCGGCGCCAUCUCCGCUGAUUUUCCUACCACGACGGUGUGCUCGGAGCCGUCCUUCAAGGUGGAACACGACCACCCCUGCCAUCCAUCCCUCUAGGAAGAUCCUAUGGCACUGCCACUGGCCUUGUGGCUCUGGAGCCCCUUGUAGGUGCACAAUCAGGACAAACGUGCCAUAAGCAUCAAGGGAUUUGAGGCACUUAUCUGCAGGACAUGACACCUUCUCCUAUGGACGCUGAGGUCAAACCCUCCUCCCAAGGUGACCAUACAAUCACAUUCGUACAAUUUUGCAAAACUGUGUUUCUCAUUGUCUUGCACUCGCGUCCGUACAAUAUUUCAUUUUUGUUUUGUUUCGAAAAGCGUACAGUAUUUUCAUUGAAUCUGUGACUUUUCUCCUAUACUAAUGGAGAAAUUUGCAGGUCCAAAUUUUGUGCUAUGAAGUAAAGGAAAUAUUUCUGGAGGAAACUAAUGUUCAUGUAUGGUAUCUUUCCCACAAUUUUGCAAUGGCGCCAUUUUAUUAAUAUAGUUAAUUGGUUGUACAAAAUAUAAUGAUGGUUUCCUCUGUUUAGUAACAUCAUGCCAUCAUCCUCAUAGUUUUGUUCUACACUUGUAUUUAUUAAUGUUCUAUUCAGUUUUCUUGUGUGGAAGCGACCAACUAGAAAAGGCAGGACGAGUUUCUUAAUAAUGAUCAUGUUUUGGUGCUACACACAAGAAGUUGCCUGCUCCGAGUUUUAUUGGUUGCUGCUGCAGGAUUACAUGAAUCAUUUUUCUCCAGGAUUGUUGUGUCAUCCGAGCAUUUUACUCUAUACAGGUAUGCAACUUGAAAUCUCCCAAAUCAAAUUCGUUCCUUUGCUCACUUCAAUGGUAAUUACCAUGUAAUUCUUUCAAGUUUCUUUCAUAGAUUCAAUUUAUUAUGAUUAAAUUUAUAUCAAGGAAAAGUUUUCAUCAUAUUUUUGGAAGAAUUCUCAAUGUUCUAUGUGUUUGUCCUUUUUGUUCCAUCCAAUUAGGCUUGAAAUAAGUUCCACUGUUCUUUACUUCGGCAGUGUUUGCCUUGUUGUAUCAGUGUGUCGCCAAACCUCAUCUCCCACUAUGCAUGUGUGUUGCUUUGGGAAUCGUCGCAAAGGAGAUUACAAUGUAAUUUUGCUAGAUUUUUAAUGACUUCACUUUGUUUGAAUGUGGGACCUAAUAGGUGACACAGGUAAUAGUAUUUUGACUUAUCUACUUUUAGUGUAGGAGGCCUAUGCGAGCAUGAAGAAAACUUUCAAACCAUCUAAUCGUAAAUCCGUUACAUGUACAAUUUUUUAUGUUAUAAAUCUCUAGGCAUCGAUUACUUUACGUGAUUCUAAUUUCUAAUUCAAGAAUUCGUUCCAUAUUAUAACUCAGAAGUCUUCUAUGUGUAUCAUAUAUUGAGUUUCAGGUGGACACUAAGAUAGCAUCGGAGCACCAACUUAGUUCCAACGUAAAUACAUGAUUCUGGAGUCCCACAGCUGGAAACGUUUAGUACUUACCAUUUUUCUCAUUUCCUACAGUUUUUAUUUCGAUGUUCCAUAAAUUAGCUGAUUAAGUGCCUGAAAGCAAACCAGUUGCUAUAUAUACUCGAGGUAGCAAAUAAGCAAGUACAAUAUACUAGAGUCUAUGAAUGUCUUGAAUUUUGUUGCAAUAUAUCUCAACAUCCAAAUUUUAUUUUGCGCAUCCUGUAGAUUAUCUUUCUCUAAAUCGGCCCUUUUUCAGUUAUGAGCAGCAAUAGUACUACAUUAAGAUUAUAACUUAGGUACAGUUUUUGCUUUCUAAUUCACGAGUGUCUCUACUAUUACUGGAGUGCAGACUCGGUAUCUAAGUUUUACUAUGUGAUGCCAUGGCAACUGUCUGGCGAACACGACUGAACCUUAUAAGCUAGCCUAAAGAACACAAAAGUCCAUUCCCUUUGGUUCUGCUGCUCCUCAUAAAUACUCAUGUUGCUUACUACAGUUCUGAGGUAUAUACAAGACGCGAGGGGUGACAAUCAGGAUAUAAACUGUUAUGCUCAAACUUAUUCAAAAUUAGUGCAGAAAGUUUGGUAGUUGCCAGAUGAAGUUGUUGAAGAGGAUUCAAGUUUCAUUUCAAUAAAAAGUAUUUGAUUGACUCUUUGCUGAAAUUAAUUUCAGUACACUAAUGCAUGGACGCACUGGUUGCAUGCUAGGUGUACUGACCUAUUACACAUCUUCGCAUUUAUUCCAGUUCACUUUCGUUCUAAUACUCUUUGUUUUUUCUCUUACACAAGAGACAAGAUGUUACUUGCUAUAUCAGUUAUGUUGUCAUGCCACAGUCUGGUUACUGAUUGGUCGACAUUUUAAUUUGGAUCAUAUUUAAUUCAUACAAGUCUAGCGACACCCUUUUCCAUGCUAAUGUUUUGGUAAGGCUUUUCAUGUAUCGAAUGGAAUUGUCGGUCUGUCACUUUCUCACCGCCUGGCUGGUCUUUAAUAAAACAAGCAAACAAAACUGAAUUAUAUGAUUAGUACAUAUCCAUAUUAUGUAGGAUAGUUUUAUUUGAUAAUUCUAACUAAUUAUAAUCCUUGUUAGCACUCUUAUCACAUGAAUGUGAUGAACUCUGUGAGAAAUGGCUAGGUGCAACAGGCCCACCCAGUUCUUUGUUUUCGAACAUGGUGGCCCUUUAGGCUCUCACCUAAUUUUUUAUUUUCGAAUAUGGUGGCCCUUUAGUAGAGUCCUGUUAAGAGUUUGGUAAUGCACCAUGUAUACAAUCUUUGGCUUAUUGCUUAUUUUGUCUUGGUAGUAUUGAUUAGUUGUAUUUACAAUCUAAUUAAAUUGUUGUAUAUAUUUUAUACCCAGCCAAUUUGAAUAUGUGAAGCAUAAUUUUACCGCGUGUAUAUGAGAUUUCCUCAUAUUACAGACUAAUUUAUGGUUAUGUUUAUGCAAAUUUA